GUUUCUUCUCCUAUCUGUCUGUCUCUUCCUCGUUCCUUACAUUACUUUUCCUCUCAACAAGCAUCAACGCAUUUCUCCCCUUCUUUUCCUCUUACUGUUUUUCUCUUCUUUUUUCUCUUUUAAUCCUUUUAUUCUUCAUAAAAAAAUUAUAAAAAAUUUUAAUUCCAAAUCUGGUUUUUGGAUCUAUCUCCUGUAUUUUAAGUUUUGUUUGCCGUUUUUGGUUUGUGGUUUCUGUUUCCAUUUGAUUUUCCUGGUCAAUGUAGCUUUAUUUUUGGUCCAGAUUAGGGCUUUGAUUCCUAAUUUGUGUGAUUGAAGAUUUCGGGUUCACUUUGCUAUCAAUUUUAAAGCAUGUGAUUCUAAAGAUCUCCUUUUUCUUUUCUUAAUCCUUUUGAUUGAAAAGGAGGAAGAAGCUCAAUUUUUUUUUUCCCUUUUGAAAUUA
This 439-nucleotide unclassified non-coding RNA is filed under the name Hevea brasiliensis (rubber tree). Lineage: Eukaryota; Viridiplantae; Streptophyta; Magnoliopsida; Malpighiales; Euphorbiaceae. The record is from RNAcentral.